GAGAACUGAUGAUUCGAAGAGUCGAAUGAAGGAGUAACGCCCGGAAAGGCUCUCCCUGAUCCUCCGAAUAGCGUCAAGAUAGGUAAGGAUCUUGAGGUUAUAAGCUCGGUGAAGUCGGCUGAAUGCUGCCGUAACAAGUCAAGUUGACGAAAGCUUUCCAGAGGUGGAAGGUGCAGCAAAUAAGCCGGGGGUCUAUAAA
This 199-nucleotide non-coding RNA is filed under the name Heyndrickxia coagulans DSM 1 = ATCC 7050. Lineage: Bacteria; Bacillati; Bacillota; Bacilli; Caryophanales; Bacillaceae. The record is from RNAcentral.